RNAcentral lists this small nuclear RNA (112 nucleotides) under Nelumbo nucifera (sacred lotus). The record is from RNAcentral. Lineage: Eukaryota; Viridiplantae; Streptophyta; Magnoliopsida; Proteales; Nelumbonaceae.
AAUUAAAGUAGCAGAAAUUAUUUGAGUUGAAAUGAUACAGAGAAGAUUAGGCGAUUAGGAUGGCCCCUGCACAAAGAUGACAUGCAGAAAUCGAGAAAUCAUCCAAAUUUUU